GGUUUAUAGACCAUAGGUAGGUUAAGCUUAACAGGAAGUAAAGCGGUGUUGAAUGUACAUUCAGCGAAGUUAGACUUAUCCCUAUAAAAGGAUAGACCUUUCUUCUUAAUAAUAUUAUUAAACUUAAUAGGUUUUCCGUCAUACGUUUCACAUGAUUUUAUAUCAUCAAGAUUCUUUGUUGUUAUUGUAAUAAUAUUACGUUCAAUUAAAAAUUCUAAUAAUGCUGUACCAAAUGGAUAGUUUAUGUUAUUACUCUGCUUUUUAAUAUCAACAUUAUCUAUAGCUUUUACCUUAUUCCCAUUAAGGAUAUUCUUAUUAAGGAUAUUCCCAUGUUGACGAAUACAUGAAUCAAUCCUAUCUAUCAAACUUGCUACACUAACAUUUACAGAAAUGUUAAAUAAACAAGAUAUUGUGUGAAUUAAAAGACAUUCC
Molecule: long non-coding RNA, 432 nt
Filed under: Linum usitatissimum (flax)
Lineage: Eukaryota; Viridiplantae; Streptophyta; Magnoliopsida; Malpighiales; Linaceae
Description: long non-coding RNA (LUSI_LNC001551)
Source: RNAcentral